RNAcentral lists this ribosomal RNA (404 nucleotides) under uncultured bacterium. Its description in RNAcentral is "partial 16S ribosomal RNA". It matches the Rfam family "Bacterial small subunit ribosomal RNA", at positions 30 to 526 of the family's 1533-position model. The record is from RNAcentral.
AUUGAACGCUGGCGGCAGGCCUAACACAUUCAAGUCGAGCGAGCGGCGGACGGGUGAGUAAUGCCUGGGAAUUGCCCAGUCGAGGGGGAUAACAGUUGGAAACGACUGCUAAAUCCGAAUACGACUGGAUUGACCAGGGGGGAUUCGUGAGUUGGUGAGGUAAUGGCUCACCAAGGUGACGAUCCCUAGCUGGUCUGAGAGGAUGUUCAGCCACACUGUAACUGAGACACGGUCCAGAAUCCUACGGGAGGCAGCAGUGGGGAAUAUUGCACAAUGGGGGAAACCCUGAUGCAGCCAUGCCGCGUGUGUGAAGAAGGCCUUCGGGUUGUAAAUCACUUUCAGCGAGGAGGCGGUACUCGCAGAAGAAGCACCGGCUAACUCCGUGCCAGCAGCCGCGGUAAUAC